This 253-nucleotide ribosomal RNA is filed under the name uncultured bacterium. RNAcentral's name for it is "partial 16S ribosomal RNA". It matches the Rfam family "Bacterial small subunit ribosomal RNA", at positions 524 to 776 of the family's 1533-position model. The record is from RNAcentral.
UACGAAGGGGACUAGCGUUGUUCGGAAUCACUGGGCGUAAAGCGCACGUAGGUGGAUUUGUAAGUCAGGGGUGAAAUCCCGGGGCUCAACCUCGGAACUGCCUUUGAUACUGCGAAUCUUGAGUCCGAUAGAGGUGGGUGGAAUUCCUAGUGUAGAGGUGAAAUUCGUAGAUAUUGGGAAGAACACCGGUGGCGAAGGCGGCUCACUGGCUCGUAACUGACGCUCAUGCACGACAGCGUGGGGAUCAAACAGG